This 253-nucleotide ribosomal RNA is filed under the name uncultured bacterium. RNAcentral describes it as "partial 16S ribosomal RNA". It matches the Rfam family "Bacterial small subunit ribosomal RNA", at positions 524 to 776 of the family's 1533-position model. The record is from RNAcentral.
UACGUAGGUGGCGAGCGUUGUCCGGAUUUACUGGGCGUAAAGGGAGCGUAGGCGGACUUUUAAGUGAGAUGUGAAAUACUCGGGCUCAACUUGAGUGCUGCAUUUCAAACUGGAAGUCUAGAGUGCAGGAGAGGAGAAUGGAAUUCCUAGUGUAGCGGUGAAAUGCGUAGAGAUUAGGAAGAACACCAGUGGCGAAGGCGAUUCUCUGGACUGCAACUGACGCUGAGGCUCGAAAGCAUGGGUAGCGAACAGG